UUGAUAGAGGCGCGUCAUUUAUGAGUAGACGGCAGUAGAUUGCCAGAAUCGCUUGAUGGUCGUUGGAAAGGAAAUGAUGCCGAAGAAAAAACGUGGCAAGUUUUUUCUGGGGAUGCAUGUGAAUAACUGCAUAACUGUCAUCAUUGCUUUAUGAUGAAGAGCUAUCG
RNAcentral lists this non-coding RNA (167 nucleotides) under chicken gut metagenome. Its description in RNAcentral is "Lysine riboswitch". It matches the Rfam family "Lysine riboswitch aptamer". From Rfam's summary of the family: Riboswitches are metabolite binding domains within certain messenger RNAs that serve as precision sensors for their corresponding targets. Allosteric rearrangement of mRNA structure is mediated by ligand binding, and this results in modulation of gene expression. This family includes riboswitches that sense lysine in a number of genes involved in lysine metabolism, including lysC. The record is from RNAcentral.